CCAGACUCCUACGGGAGGCAGCAGUGGGGGAUAUUGCACAAUGGGGGAAACCCUGAUGCAGCGACGCCGCGUGGGCGAAGAAGUAUUUCGGUAUGUAAAGCCCUAUCAGCAGGGAAGAAGAAAUGACGGUACCUGAGUAGGAAGCACCGGCUAAAUACGUGCCAGCAGCCGCGGUAAUACGUAUGGUGCAAGCGUUAUCCGGAUUUACUGGGUGUAAAGGGAGCGCAGGCGGCACGGCAAGCCUGAUGUGAAAGCCCGCGGCCCAACCGCGGGACUGCAUUGGGAACUACCGGGCUGGAGUGCCGGAGAGGUAGGCGGAAUUCCUAGUGUAGCGGUGAAAUGCGUAGAUAUCAGGAGGAACACCGGCGGCGGAGGCGGCCUGCUGGACCGCGACUGACGUUGAGGCUCGAAAGCGUGGGGAGCAAACAGGAUUAGAUACCCCUGUA
Molecule: ribosomal RNA, 446 nt
Filed under: uncultured bacterium
Lineage: Bacteria
Description: bacterial SSU rRNA
Rfam family: Bacterial small subunit ribosomal RNA
Source: RNAcentral